AUUGAACGCUGGGGGCAGGCUUAACACACGCAAGUCGAGCGGGGUGAUGGUGCUUGCACUAUCACUUAGCGGCGGAUGGGUGAGUAAUGCUUAGGAAUCUGCCUAUUAGUGGGGGACAACAUCUCGAAAGGGAUGCUAAUACCGCAUACGUCCUACGGGAGAAAGCAGGGGAUCACUUGUGACCUUGCGCUAAUAGAUGAGCCUAAGUCGGAUUAGCUAGUUGGUGGGGUAAAGGCCUACCAAGGCGACGAUCUGUAGCGGGUCUGAGAGGAUGAUCCGCCACACUGGGACUGAGACACGGCCCAGACUCCUACGGGAGGCAGCAGUGGGGAAUAUUGGACAAUGGGGGGAACCCUGAUCCAGCCAUGCCGCGUGUGUGAAGAAGGCCUUAUGGUUGUAAAGCACUUUAAGCGAGGAGGAGGCUCUUUUGGUUAAUACCCAAGAUGAGUGGACGUUACUCGCAGAAUAAGCACCGGCUAACUCUGUGCCAGCCGCCGCAGUAA
Molecule: ribosomal RNA, 503 nt
Filed under: uncultured bacterium
Lineage: Bacteria
Description: partial 16S ribosomal RNA
Rfam family: Bacterial small subunit ribosomal RNA
Source: RNAcentral